UGUAAUCGCUGUAGCAAUACAGAGGAAAGUCCAUGCUCACACUAGCUGAGAUGCUUGUAGUGUUCAUGCUUGACGAAGUCAUAAGUCAAGGUAGUCUAUAGACUAACGGCAGGAAAUAUUCCUAAGUUCAUCAUUGAAUAUGGAAUAUUAUACUUGAAAGUGCCACAGUGACGUAGCUAUAUUGGAAACAAUAUAGGUGGAACGGGUAAACCCCAUGAGUGAGCAACCCAAACGAUGGUAGGGGCAUCCUUUAGUAGGGAAAUGAACCGAAAAAGGGACAGAUGAUAAUCUGUAGAUAGAUGAUUACAACCUUAGUACGAGGCUAACCACCAUUUGCAGUACGAUGGAACAGAACAUGGCUUAUC
Molecule: RNase P RNA, 365 nt
Filed under: chicken gut metagenome
Description: Bacterial RNase P class B
Rfam family: Bacterial RNase P class B
About the family: Ribonuclease P (RNase P) is a ubiquitous endoribonuclease, found in archaea, bacteria and eukarya as well as chloroplasts and mitochondria.
Source: RNAcentral